Molecule: microRNA precursor, 201 nt
Filed under: Oryza brachyantha (malo sina)
Lineage: Eukaryota; Viridiplantae; Streptophyta; Magnoliopsida; Poales; Poaceae
Description: MIR812 microRNA precursor family
Rfam family: MIR812 microRNA precursor family
Source: Rfam by way of RNAcentral
AACACACCAAUUUUUCACUUUUUACCUAUAAUAUUUGACUCUCCGUCUUAUUAAAAAAUUUACGAUUAACAUUUUUAUUUUUAUUAGAUGAUAAAUCAUAAAUAGUACUUAACGUAUGAUUAUUUUUUUCUUAAUUUCUUAAAAAAAUUUCAAAGACGGAUGGUCAAACGCUGGACACAGAAACCGAAGAGUUGGCUUAUU